GACGUUAACUCGGUGUUGUAGUGGUAGCACGCGUCCCCGGUGUGGAUGAAACGCGAGUUCGACUCCCGUCUGACGUCG
Parelaphostrongylus tenuis is the source of this 78-nucleotide non-coding RNA. The record is from the annotation of a GenBank genome assembly. NCBI's taxonomy places the organism in Eukaryota, Metazoa, Nematoda, Chromadorea, Rhabditida, Metastrongylidae.